AACGGGGAACAGCCCAAACCAUUGAGCUUGCUCAGUGGGGUUGUAGGACUGAACAUUAGAGUUACCAAAGUUAGUGGUAGUCGAAGCAGUUGGAACGCUGCGUCAAAGAGGGUGAAAAUCCCGUAGAUCAAACUGCUAACCCUCUGUUCAGGAUCCUGAGUACGGCGGAACACGUGAAAUUCCGUCGGAAUCUGGGAGGACCAUCUCCCAAGGCUAAAUACUACCUAGUGACCGAUAGUGGACCAGUACCGUGAG
Molecule: ribosomal RNA, 255 nt
Filed under: Loigolactobacillus backii
Lineage: Bacteria; Bacillati; Bacillota; Bacilli; Lactobacillales; Lactobacillaceae
Description: Lactobacillus backii partial 23S ribosomal RNA
Rfam family: Bacterial large subunit ribosomal RNA
Source: RNAcentral